This 362-nucleotide ribosomal RNA is filed under the name uncultured bacterium. RNAcentral's name for it is "bacterial SSU rRNA". It matches the Rfam family "Bacterial small subunit ribosomal RNA", at positions 29 to 416 of the family's 1533-position model. The record is from RNAcentral.
AGCGAACGCUGGCGGCAGGCUUAACACAUGCAAGUCGAACGGGCACCUUCGGGUGUCAGUGGCAGACGGGUGAGUAACACGUGGGAACGUACCCUUCGGUUCGGAAUAACUCUGGGAAACUAGAGCUAAUACCGGAUACGCCCUUUUGGGGAAAGGUUUACUGCCGAAGGAUCGGCCCGCGUCUGAUUAGCUAGUUGGUGGGGUAACGGCCUACCAAGGCGACGAUCAGUAGCUGGUCUGAGAGGAUGAUCAGCCACACUGGGACUGAGACACGGCCCAGACUCCUACGGGAGGCAGCAGUGGGGAAUAUUGGACAAUGGGCGCAAGCCUGAUCCAGCCAUGCCGCGUGAGUGAUGAAGGCC